This 511-nucleotide ribosomal RNA is filed under the name uncultured bacterium. RNAcentral describes it as "bacterial SSU rRNA". It matches the Rfam family "Bacterial small subunit ribosomal RNA", at positions 15 to 518 of the family's 1533-position model. The record is from RNAcentral.
GAUCCUGGCUUAGGAUGAACGCUGGCGGCGUGCCUAAUACAUGCAAGUCGAACGAGAGUGCUUGCACUCGAGUGGCGAACGGGUGAGUAACACGUGGGUAACCCACCUAUAAGACGAGGAUAACUUCUGGAAACGGAUGCUAAUACUGGAUAAGAUAUAUUACCACAUGGUGAUAUAUUUAAAGGUUCUUAACGGGAUCACUUAUAGAGGGGCUUGCGGAGCAUUAGCUAGUUGGUGAGAUAACAGCCCACCAAGGCGAAGAUGCUUAGCCGGACUGAGAGGUUGAACGGCCACAUUGGGACUGAGACACGGCCCAGACUCCUACGGGAGGCAGCAGUAGGGAAUUUUGGGCAAUGGGCGCAAGCCUGACGGAGCAACGCCGCGUGAGUGAAGAAGGUUUUUUCCGGAUCGUAAAACUCUGUUGUCAGAGAAGAACAAGUUGGAGAGUAACUGCUCCAGCCUUGGCGGUAUCUGACCAGAAAGCCACGGCUAACUACGUGCCAGCAGCUGC